UUACCCUACAUCAUUAAGCUGUUGUUUCGUCGUAUCAGAAUCUGAUAGUAAAAGCAACAAGUGUGGUUCGGUAAUCUCAUGCUAUCUUGUUCAUAUUUAGCAGCUAGCCAGAAGAGAGCAACGUAUAACUUAAAACUGUUUGUAGUUAGAUGUUAGAUUUUGCUGCGAAGACUUUGCCAAGUAUUUUCCUGUGUAGCUGAAAUCAUAGAUAAUAUAUGGACUGAAAUGACCAGAGUACAUUGUUAAUUUGGAUGUUCGUGUUCGUUAGCAUCGUUGGUAAGAGUUAACGUGCUAGCUAGCAUGGCAAUGGCACACUACAUUGGUCGAUGUGAAGCUACGUUUUGGUGGCAGGUAUAAUUGUGGGUAAGUAGUGUUUGUUAUUCAUCUUUCUGUAAUCUCUCUAGCCCUGUAGGACAAGCUGGCGGACCCCUCCCACCCUCUCAAGCAAGCAGUGAAAGCCCUGCAGGACAAGCUGGCGUACUCCUCCCAUCGUCUCCAUCGGCCCAGUUCAGCACCACCUUCCAGACAGCAAGCAGUGAAAGGACAAGCUGUCGGACCAUUCUCACACUCUCCAUCAAGCACAUCAAGUGACAGGCCAAUCUUCCCCCCAGAAGUGUUACAACAAAUUAUUGGAGAAACACUGUGUCUUGAUAUGUCUAUGCUAGGUGUUUUUAACAGAGUAUCAAAAUCUUGCUGUACUGUCUGUCCACUAGCCACCUUUUACCACUGUCUUACUGCUUCACUGUUUGCAUGCUAUAUUAGCACAUAUGCAUAACCCCUCCCUCAAUCCCACAGCCGGAUUGUGGCCACACUUAUACCUUUACUUAAUACGUAAUGCUUUAUAAUCAAUACUCGUAUAAAGGCUGUAACCCUAUUACGUCAACCCAUUCUUGCACUGAUAUAGUUUUUCUAUAGUCUUUUUUUAUA
Long non-coding RNA from Alosa sapidissima (American shad), 927 nucleotides. RefSeq lists it as uncharacterized. NCBI's taxonomy places the organism in Eukaryota, Metazoa, Chordata, Actinopteri, Clupeiformes, Clupeidae. The record is from RefSeq and is a predicted model, not a curated record. The transcript has 3 exons.